UACGUAGGGACCAAGCGUUGUUCGGAUUUACUGGGCGUAAAGGGCGCGUAGGCGGCAAUUCAAGUCAUCUGUGAAAUCUCCGGGCUUAACUCGGAACGGUCAGAUGAUACUGCUUUGCUAGAGUGCGGAAGGGGCAAUCGGAAUUCUUGGUGUAGCGGUGAAAUGCGUAGAUAUCAAGAGGAACACCUGAGGUGAAGACGGGUUGCUGGGCCAACACUGACGCUGAGGCGCGAAAGCCAGGGGAGCAAACGGG
RNAcentral lists this ribosomal RNA (253 nucleotides) under uncultured bacterium. Its description in RNAcentral is "partial 16S ribosomal RNA". It matches the Rfam family "Bacterial small subunit ribosomal RNA", at positions 524 to 776 of the family's 1533-position model. The record is from RNAcentral.